UGCCAGCCGCCGCGGUAAUACGGAUGGUGCGAGCGUUAUUCGGAAUUAUUGGGCGUAAAGGGCGCGUAGGCGGUCUUGUCGGUCAGAUGUGAAAGCCCGGGGCUCAACCCUGGAAGUGCAUUUGAAACAGCAAGACUUGAAUACAGGAGAGGAGAGCGGAAUUCCUGGUGUAGAGGCGAAAUUCGUAGAUAUCAGGAGGAACACCGAUGGCGAAGGCAGCUUUCUGGACAGAUAUUGACGCUGAGGCGCGAAGGCGUGGGUAGCGAACGGGAUUAGAUA
This 279-nucleotide ribosomal RNA is filed under the name uncultured bacterium. RNAcentral's name for it is "partial 16S ribosomal RNA". It matches the Rfam family "Bacterial small subunit ribosomal RNA", at positions 506 to 784 of the family's 1533-position model. The record is from RNAcentral.